AAAGCGUGAUGUGGACAAGCAUUGAGAAGGUCCUUGAAUCGUUCCCAUGCUUGAGUAAAGUUUUCAUUAGGUUUGCAGGAAAAAUUCAUCAUUUGCAUUUGGAGAUU
This is a small nucleolar RNA of Diospyros lotus (date-plum), 107 nucleotides long. NCBI's taxonomy places the organism in Eukaryota, Viridiplantae, Streptophyta, Magnoliopsida, Ericales, Ebenaceae. The record is from RefSeq and is a predicted model, not a curated record.